UGCAAGUGGAUGUUGCACAACCUGCACUUUACGUAGUCACUGUGAUGUGACUAACACCACCACCUACCUAGAGGUGAAUAACUGCAGGUCUACUGUGCCGGUGGAAAUCUCAGCCUGCGGGGGAUCCUGUGGAACGUCUUCUAUGUACUCUGCAGAGAAAAACACCUUGAUGCACUCCUGCUCCUGCUGUCAGGAGAUGUCUACCAGUGAGAGGAAGGUGGAGAUGCUCUGCCCUGACGGGAAGAAGAUCAUGCAGAACUACAUUUACAUUGAUAAGUGCGGCUGCCAUGACUCUGAGUGUGACAAGAAGAACCACG
Molecule: long non-coding RNA, 317 nt
Filed under: Salmo salar (Atlantic salmon)
Lineage: Eukaryota; Metazoa; Chordata; Actinopteri; Salmoniformes; Salmonidae
Description: lncRNA (ENSSSAG00000050923.2)
Source: RNAcentral